AAGUCAUGGCUGAUGUCCUUUCAUCAUGGAAGGAUGCACACGAACGUCUCGAGAACACCAAACUGCCAAAAGUUCAGUUUUUAUAGAGACAGAUGGCAGAUGACAAGGACGUUAGCCUCAGGGCUGGAAAGAAUGAAAAGAUUUGGCUUCCUUCCCCAGUCAUGACCAGUUAGACAACUACUGCUCCACAUGUACCUGCCUGUCAUCUCAGCCUCUGAACACGGCCAGGCACGCUUAACUGUUGUUUAAUACCUUAUUAAACAGUUAAACAUCCAAGGCCUCUUUAUAGGGUCUUGCAGGCAGCGCAGCAUCUGUGAGGCAGAGUGAAAAAAAACCUGCUGUUUCCGUUUUCCACGCGUCAACAAUGUGGACUCUCCAUUUCUGGGUCUGUGAUAUCACGGAGCACAGGAAGUGACAUCACUUCCCUGUUCACUGAGCUUGAUAAUUGCACCCAGACAACAGAUGACAGCUGAGCUGCGCUGUGCUGGAAAAUGGAUAUGACUGUGGUUAGAGGUUAGCCUCAUAACAGGGCUGCUUUAUUGGUCUUGACUCCUCUGGUUCUUACAGUGCACACACACACACACAAAAAAGCUGUCCACAGAACAAACAGUACAGUUUUUAAUGCAAUUUUAUGUACUGCAUUGUCCACAAUAGAGUCCAAUAACUCUUUUUAUGAUGUUGUUUACCAAAAACUACUACAAGCUUUUAUUUAUUUGAUGUUUAUGAUUGUAGAAUGUAGAACUGGGACACGUUUUAAACAGUUUGAGAAAUGAUUGCAUAUCACUGAUAGCUAUCGAAAGAUUCUGUUAAUUCAUGCCAUACAUGUCUAAAAAGCGACAAAGUGUUAAUGGUCAGACUUGAGCAAGUAACAGCUGAUGUUGAGUCAGUGUGGUUUUAUCCCAAUGUGGCUUUAACCCCAUGUUAGGCGUUCUACUGUUACA
Molecule: long non-coding RNA, 941 nt
Organism: Neoarius graeffei (lesser salmon catfish)
Lineage: Eukaryota; Metazoa; Chordata; Actinopteri; Siluriformes; Ariidae
Exons: 3
Source: RefSeq, a predicted model, not a curated record